AUCGCUUCUCAGCCUUUGACUAAAAUGAAGUGUAGUAUCUGUCCUUACCAGUUUAAUAUCUGAUAUGUUGUCUAUCUGACGACAAUAUAUUAAAUGGAUUUUUGGCUCUAGGAACUGGAAUAGGAGCUUGCUCCGUCCAUUCCUCGUAUCGACUUACUAGUGCAGUACCUCCAGGAAUGGUGCAUAGAAA
Suncus etruscus (white-toothed pygmy shrew) is the source of this 190-nucleotide small nuclear RNA. RefSeq annotates it as U2 spliceosomal RNA. The transcript has a single exon. The record is from RefSeq and is a predicted model, not a curated record. NCBI's taxonomy places the organism in Eukaryota, Metazoa, Chordata, Mammalia, Eulipotyphla, Soricidae.